CCUAUCUAGAAGACCCAUACUCACAACAUGGAUAUGAACAUUACUACGAUCCGGAGAGUGGUUCGGGAUACCUUGCAUGGCGAUUGAAGACCAUACA
This is a long non-coding RNA of Etheostoma spectabile (orangethroat darter), 97 nucleotides long. RefSeq lists it as uncharacterized. The transcript is spliced from 2 exons. The record is from RefSeq and is a predicted model, not a curated record. NCBI's taxonomy places the organism in Eukaryota, Metazoa, Chordata, Actinopteri, Perciformes, Percidae.